This is a non-coding RNA of Tothia fuscella, 93 nucleotides long. Lineage: Eukaryota; Fungi; Ascomycota; Dothideomycetes; Venturiales; Cylindrosympodiaceae. The record is from the annotation of a GenBank genome assembly.
GCUGUGGUGGUCUAGUGGUAUGACGUCCGCUUCACAUGGCGAAAAACCAUGAUAGCUCGCUGAAGGUCCCGGGUUCGAUCCCCGGUCGCAGUA